GGUGUGUUGCUGUACAAUAAACAUCUGUGAAAGGAACUGGAGUCUCGCAUCCGACCCACGGGCAGCCUAGACGGUGCCGACAGAGACUGUUUCACACGCAUUUCCAUAUGAUGAACCCAGAGGCCAUCUUGACACCAAAAGAGAACACAGAAACAAAG
Hippocampus comes (tiger tail seahorse) is the source of this 158-nucleotide long non-coding RNA. RefSeq lists it as uncharacterized. The transcript is spliced from 2 exons. The record is from RefSeq and is a predicted model, not a curated record. Lineage: Eukaryota; Metazoa; Chordata; Actinopteri; Syngnathiformes; Syngnathidae.